CUGGCGGCCUUAGCGCGGUGGUCCCACCUGACCCCAUGCCGAACUCAGAAGUGAAACGCCGUAGCGCCGAUGGUAGUGUGGGGUCUCCCCAUGCGAGAGUAGGGAACUGCCA
This 112-nucleotide ribosomal RNA is filed under the name Escherichia coli O145:H28. The record is from RNAcentral. Lineage: Bacteria; Pseudomonadati; Pseudomonadota; Gammaproteobacteria; Enterobacterales; Enterobacteriaceae.